Molecule: transfer RNA, 75 nt
Filed under: Araneus ventricosus
Lineage: Eukaryota; Metazoa; Arthropoda; Arachnida; Araneae; Araneidae
Description: tRNA-Pro
Source: RNAcentral
AGAGUUUAUCUGGCCGAGUGGUGAAAGCGUCCGCUUUGGAAGCGGAAGGUCGCGAGUUCUAAUCCGAAGUUUCUU